This 403-nucleotide ribosomal RNA is filed under the name uncultured bacterium. RNAcentral's name for it is "partial 16S ribosomal RNA". It matches the Rfam family "Bacterial small subunit ribosomal RNA", at positions 30 to 526 of the family's 1533-position model. The record is from RNAcentral.
AUUGAACGCUGGCGGCAGGCCUAACACAUGCAAGUCGAGCGAGCGGCGGACGGGUGAGUAAUGUAUGGGGACUGCCCGAUAGAGGGGGAUAACUACUGGAAACGGUGGCUAAUACCGCAUACUAUCGGAUAACCCAUAUGGGAUUAGCUAGUAGGUGGGGAAAAGGCUCACGUGGGCGACGAUCUCUAGCUGGUCUGAGAGGAUGCUCAGCCCCACUUGGACUGAGACACGGCCCCGACUCCUACGGAGGCAGCAGAUGGGAAUAUUGCCCAAUGGGCGAAACCCUGAUGCAGCCAUGCCGCGUGUAUGAAGAAGGCCUUAGGGGUGGAAAGUACUUUCAACGGGGAGGCGUUACCCGCAGAAGAAGCACCGGCGAACGCCGUGCCAGCAGCCGCGGUAAUUC